AAAGGGAGACCUAAUUCAGGUAGGAGACGAAAAAAAAGUAGUCCCUACCAGGAAUCAAUCCCAAAAGGUCGGAGCGAGGCAAAAUUGGCUUUCAAACUAGGUUCUGGGUUCACAUAAGACCUGAAUCAGGAACAAGGGCUAUUAGCUCAGGUGGUUAGAGCGCACCCCUGAUAAGGGUGAGGUCCCUGGUUCGAGUCCAGGAUGGCCCACCUGCACAGGUGGCAAAAACAAGAGAAGCGAGGAAUCAGCACCUUAUCUUACUGACAUAGUAAGAGAGAAUGCUGGCUCUGAGUAAAGAGUCCAGAGGAACCUUGAAAACUGCAUAGAGCUAGGUGAAAAAGCCAAAAAAGAAGACCGCCAG
Molecule: transfer RNA, 361 nt
Filed under: uncultured Microcystis sp.
Lineage: Bacteria; Bacillati; Cyanobacteriota; Cyanophyceae; Chroococcales; Microcystaceae
Description: partial 16S-23S ribosomal RNA intergenic spacer
Rfam family: tRNA (bases 136-209)
Source: RNAcentral